AACGAACGCUGGCGGCAUGCCUACACAUGCAAGUCGAACGAGACCUUCGGGUCUAGUGGCGCACGGGUGCGUAACGCGUGGGAACCUGCCUUUAGGUUCGGAAUAACUCAGAGAAAUUUGAGCUAAUACCGGAUGAUGUCUUCGGACCAAAGAUUUAUCGCCUUUAGAUGGGCCCGCGUUGGAUUAGCUAGUUGGUGGGGUAAAGGCCUACCAAGGCGACGAUCCAUAGCUGGUCUGAGAGGAUGAUCAGCCACACUGGGACUGAGACACGGCCCAGACUCCUACGGGAAGCAGCAGUGGGGAAUAUUGGACAAUGGGCGAAAGCCUGAUCCAGCAAUGCCGCGUGAGUGAUGAAGGCCUUAGGGUUGUAAAGCUCUUUUACCCGAGAUGAUAAUGACAGUAUCGGGAGAAUAAGCUCCGGCUAACUCCGUG
Molecule: ribosomal RNA, 432 nt
Filed under: uncultured bacterium
Lineage: Bacteria
Description: partial 16S ribosomal RNA
Rfam family: Bacterial small subunit ribosomal RNA
Source: RNAcentral